CGGGGCGUAGCGCAGCCUGGUAGCGCAUCUGCUUUGGGAGCAGAGGGUCGCAGGUUCGAAUCCUGCCGCCCCGACCA
Molecule: transfer RNA, 77 nt
Filed under: Parvularcula bermudensis HTCC2503
Lineage: Bacteria; Pseudomonadati; Pseudomonadota; Alphaproteobacteria; Parvularculales; Parvularculaceae
Also listed under: 21 other names
Description: tRNA-Pro (TGG) (tRNA-Pro-TGG-1-1)
Rfam family: tRNA
About the family: Transfer RNA (tRNA) molecules are approximately 80 nucleotides in length. Their secondary structure includes four short double-helical elements and three loops (D, anti-codon, and T loops).
Source: RNAcentral